This 1894-nucleotide small RNA is filed under the name Rattus norvegicus (Norway rat). RNAcentral's name for it is "uncharacterized LOC102548282". Lineage: Eukaryota; Metazoa; Chordata; Mammalia; Rodentia; Muridae. The record is from RNAcentral.
CUUCCUGCCAUGAUGAUAAUGGACCGAACCUCUGAACCUGUCACAAAAGGAGGGAUUUCCUGCUCCCAAGAGACCUACAAUAUAGGAGGAAUUGGUACUAAAGAGGGAAUAGAAGUCACGGUUGCAAGACAGGCAAGGUGGCAGUGACAGCUAUAAUACCAGCAGGUGGGCGCUAAGGCAGGAGGAUCAUCACGUGCUUAAGGCCAUCAAGACCCUGUCUCACAACUACGAAUCAGUACUACCCUGUCGGGAAGGAAGAACUGCCCUACUGUUUUCAAAACAGAGUGAAGAGACAGAGAUGGUUGAAAAGGCCUCUCUUUCUUUGUUUCUUUGAUUCUUUGUUUCUUUCUUUCUUUGUUCCUUUGUUUCUUUGAUCCUUUGACUCUUUCUUUCUUUCUUUCUUUCUUUCUUUCUUUCUUUCUUUCUUUCUUUCUUUCUUUCUUUCUGUAGUCUAUUUAUCUUACUCAUUACACUGGGAUGAAUUGAGCCAGACAUAGCAUUAGGGCGAUUGCCACCACAGACUUGUUUUCCAGGAGGGAAGGGAUUUUUCCUCUGGGGCGUGUGUUCUGAAGACUCAAGAGCAUGGGCGUGAGAAGUCCUGGGGCAGAGAUUAUGGUCAAGUCCCUGAGGUGGCAGGAGGCGCUACAGUCAUGAACCAGCCAGAAAGGCGCCUGGGCCUUUGUACAAGGAGAAGGGAGGGAGGGAGGGAAAGGGUUAGGCAACAAGCAGAUCUCCAUGAGGUUUGGUGAGAAACUUGGAAAGAUUCGGGUCCGUUGAGACAUCACUGAGAGGUUCUGUGUAGAGACACAGCAUUUUAAAAUCACUCUGAACAAUGCGUGCUAGCUCUAAUCUGUAAUCCUCAGGAAGAUUGCUGUGGGUCUGAGGGCAGCCUGGGCUAUGGAGUGAAUUCCAGACCAGAGCAGGCAACAAAAGUGUGGGGAUAAGGGGCUGCUUCUGACUUUCCGCAGCAGCUGACCGUGCUCUGUCUGCCUCGUGCUCUAGCAGAGGCGUGGUUUUGCCAGCUGCAGGAAGUUUCUGCGAUUGUGCGAUGUCUGGAACUCUGAGAACUUCUUAGAGGGUACGUAAGUACGAGGACUCAAAGCGAUUGGGUGGGUGGUUGUCAGGCAUUUAGGGAAGUUGGUUGUGGUUUAUUAGCAGCUAAGGUCAAAGAAGAAAGGAAAGGAAAGAAAUUGGAUUCAGAGCUCUCUUUCCCCUCUAUCCUUGUUUCUCUCCUACCUAAUGUCAGGGGGUGAAAUGGGGGGAAGGGAGUAAAGGGUGGAAAAAAGAAUCCACAAAAUAGCAAAGACCAACUACACAUGUGCAUCCAGAACCAACAAACAGGGGUCUUCUCAGCUGUCUCUGGAGCUUCCUCCCUGUUGUCGAUGCACCCCACUCAGCUGCCUUUCCACUCACCUGUUCCCUCUCUGGCCUUGAACCUAGACCUGAACCCACUCUUGCUACUCCCAGACACCAGUGCUGAACUCUUCCUCUCAGCUGAACUCUGCGGCUUUGCUCUCUUUACUCCAGCAGCUCCUCCCUCCAGGCACUGGUCUGGUUCCUAUCUUACGACAGACUCAUCCUCGGUCUACCUCGGAGACCCUCGACCUCUUCUGCAGCCUUUGUAACUUGUACUCCUUCUGUGACCCAUAGGAGUGCAUAUAGAUAUGUAGCUGUACUUAAUGUGUGUUUGCAGUGUGUGAUAUGAGAGUUCAUAUGAAUUAAGACAGGCAAAAAAAAGAACCCGCGUUGGCCUUGACCAGGUUACCAUGGGAGGUGGGAUUGCAUAACAGAUUUCUGUCAUUAAAACUGCUCAACUUAGCUGGGUAGUGGUAGCGCAUGCCUUUAAUCUCAGCACCUGGGAGGCAGAGGCAAGCUAGUCUCUGAGUUCGAGGCC